GAAUUGUUCGCAAUGGGCGCAAGCCUGACGACGCAAUGCCGCGUGGAGGAUGAAGACCUUCGGGUCGUAAACUCCUUUCGACCGAGAUGAAUUCCCGCCGACCUAACACGUCGGCGGGGUGACAGUAUCGAGGGAAGCAGCCCCGGCUAACUCCGGUCCAGCAGCCGCGGUAAUACGGGGGGGGCGAGCGUUGUUCGGAAUUACUGGGCGUAAAGGGUUCGUAGGUGGCUUGCUAAGUCAGACGUGAAAUCCCUCGGCUCAACCGGGGAACUGCGUCUGAAACUAGUGAGCUUGAGUGCAGGAGAGGAACGCGGAAUUCCAGGUGUAGCGGUGAAAUGCGUAGAUAUCUGGAGGAACACCGGUGGCGAAGGCGGCGUUCUGGACUGCAACUGACACUGAGGAACGAAAGCCAGGGGAGCAAACGGG
This 426-nucleotide ribosomal RNA is filed under the name uncultured bacterium. RNAcentral describes it as "bacterial SSU rRNA". It matches the Rfam family "Bacterial small subunit ribosomal RNA", at positions 359 to 776 of the family's 1533-position model. The record is from RNAcentral.